Molecule: ribosomal RNA, 492 nt
Filed under: uncultured bacterium
Lineage: Bacteria
Description: partial 16S ribosomal RNA
Rfam family: Bacterial small subunit ribosomal RNA
Source: RNAcentral
AGUGAACGCUGGCGGUAGGCCUAACACAUGCAAGUCGAACGGCAGCACAGUAAGAGCUUGCUCUUACGGGUGGCGAGUGGCGGACGGGUGAGGAAUACAUCGGAAUCUACUUUUUCGUGGGGGAUAACGUAGGGAAACUUACGCUAAUACCGCAUACGACCUACGGGUGAAUGCAGGGGAUCUUCGGACCUUGCGCGAUUGAAUGAGCCGAUGUCGGAUUAGCUAGUUGGCGGGGUAAAGGCCCACCAAGGCGACGAUCCGUAGCUGGUCUGAGAGGAUGAUCAGCCACACUGGCACUGAGACACGGUCCAGACUCCUACGGGAGGCAGCGAUGGGGAAUAUUGGACAAUGGGCGCAAGCCUGAUCCAGCCAUACCGCGUGGGUGAAGAAGGCCUUCGGGUUGUAAAGCACUUUUGUUGGGAAAGAAAAGCAGCAGGUUAAUACCCCGCUGUUCUGACGGUACCCAAAGAAUAAGCACCGGCUAACUUCGUG